This 112-nucleotide ribosomal RNA is filed under the name Rickettsiaceae bacterium. The record is from RNAcentral. Lineage: Bacteria; Pseudomonadati; Pseudomonadota; Alphaproteobacteria; Rickettsiales; Rickettsiaceae.
UUUGAUUCUUAUAGGUUAAUAGGAACCACCCGAACCCAUACCGAACUCGACUAGUGAAACUUUUAGCCGCCGCAUGUACUGUUCCUCACGGGAGACGCGGUUAGGAUCAAAU